GCGGACUUAGCUCAGUUGGGAGAGCGCCAGACUGAAGUGUACUUUGGUCUUGAUAUCUGGAGGUCCUGUGUUCGAUCCACAGAGUUCGCA
Molecule: transfer RNA, 90 nt
Organism: Sugiyamaella lignohabitans
Lineage: Eukaryota; Fungi; Ascomycota; Dipodascomycetes; Dipodascales; Trichomonascaceae
Rfam family: tRNA
About the family: Transfer RNA (tRNA) molecules are approximately 80 nucleotides in length. Their secondary structure includes four short double-helical elements and three loops (D, anti-codon, and T loops).
Source: Rfam